This 157-nucleotide unclassified non-coding RNA is filed under the name uncultured Phialemonium. RNAcentral describes it as "sequence contains ITS2". Lineage: Eukaryota; Fungi; Ascomycota. The record is from RNAcentral.
CAACCCUCAAGCUCUCUUGCUUGGUGUUGGGGCUUCUGCGGCUUCGGCCGCAGGCCCUGAAAAACAGUGGCGGGCUCGCUAUAACUCCGAGCGUAGUAAUCUCUCUCGCUUUGGAAGAGUAGCGGUUCCCGGCCGUUAAACCCCCCAAUUUCUGAAA